GGAGGGACGCCCCGGGCACCGCCCCCGUCCCGCCGGCGCCCCCCGCUCCAGUCCCGGACCCCGAGCCAGGCCUGUCCCAAGUCCUCCCGGGCCCGCCCGCCCGUGGCCCCUUACCUUGGCCUGGCAUUUCCGAUGACAGGAGAAGCUGCAGACUGCAAGAGAGCGAGACACAGAAAGAAAGUUUUAGCCGCGAGGUAGGCACCCUUGGCAGCGCUUGGCCUACAUGACCAUACAGGGCAGCCCUGCCGGUCACACAGCGGGCAGACACUCAGCAAAUGCCCUCAAGUGGGGGGCAAGUGGAGAAAUCAUCAGGCAAUUGCAGUAUGCUAUGCUGAGUGCUUCCUGCACACUGGAAUGCAGAAAGCUUGUCCUUGGCAGCUCUACAAAGGGGAGCGAAGGAAGACCACCCCCACCCCAGUUCCCAGCCCAGAAGACAAAAGCUUAGCAAACCGAAAGCAAGUGGCAGAUGCCAAGCAGGACAGGCUUGGCCAAGCCCCCAUGAAUGGAUUUUGACAUCUGCAGAAGUAUCCGCCUCCAACCCGAAGGAGGCCCGCUUGCUGAGUCUCCUCCAGGGAAGCCCCCUUUGCAUGCCUGGCCACCUUUCUCACAUCUCCUUCCAAGGGGCAGAAUGUCCUCCCAACUUGCAUCAUGUCUGCUGUCCUCUCAAGUUUGGGCCUGCCGAUCUGCUGGCCUCUCACUCUCAGAAUGAUGAAAUACUCCAUAUACUACAGAAAAGGAAACUGUGGCAGCCAGCCUCUUGGGUAGCUGCCAGUGUUUCUUGCCUCUGCUACUCAUGCCCUUCUGGAGUCCCCUCCCACACUAAAUAGGGCUGAUUCAUGUAAUCAAUCAGAUACUAUAGAAAUGACAGUGUGUGACUUCUGAGGCUAAGCUAUAAAAGACACUUUGACUUCA
Molecule: long non-coding RNA, 912 nt
Organism: Sapajus apella (tufted capuchin)
Lineage: Eukaryota; Metazoa; Chordata; Mammalia; Primates; Cebidae
Exons: 2
Source: RefSeq, a predicted model, not a curated record